Megalops cyprinoides (Indo-Pacific tarpon) is the source of this 127-nucleotide small nucleolar RNA. RefSeq annotates it as small nucleolar RNA SNORA71. The record is from RefSeq and is a predicted model, not a curated record. The transcript has a single exon. NCBI's taxonomy places the organism in Eukaryota, Metazoa, Chordata, Actinopteri, Elopiformes, Megalopidae.
CAUUGUAUCGAAAGUGACUAUGGCCUGAAUGUUGCCAGCUCAUUGGUACUACAGGGAGAAUGAACUGAAAGCCUGUCCCGUGUUUGCUGGAAGUACUAUCCCUUUCAAACCCUGUAUCUUUCAGACA